ACAAGAGGUCUGCCUGCCUAGGA
Molecule: non-coding RNA, 23 nt
Filed under: Rattus norvegicus (Norway rat)
Lineage: Eukaryota; Metazoa; Chordata; Mammalia; Rodentia; Muridae
Source: RNAcentral